This 68-nucleotide transfer RNA is filed under the name Erotylidae sp. BMNH 1274392. RNAcentral's name for it is "tRNA-Cys". Lineage: Eukaryota; Metazoa; Arthropoda; Insecta; Coleoptera; Erotylidae. The record is from RNAcentral.
GAUUGAGUAGUCAAAAAUGAUUUUAAAUUGCAAAUUUGAAGGUAAAGCAUAAGUUUCUUUCUCAGUCU